Molecule: non-coding RNA, 108 nt
Organism: Prevotella sp. CAG:5226
Lineage: Bacteria; Pseudomonadati; Bacteroidota; Bacteroidia; Bacteroidales; Prevotellaceae
Source: Rfam
UCCAUCGCAAGAUGGAAUCUGAAGGAAGCCCAAGACAAACAUCUGACCUAACGAACAGAAACUUCAUAUAAGGCAUAUGACCGUGGAUAACUACUCAAAGUCUUGGUG